UGAGGAAUAUUGGUCAAUGGACGAGAGUCUGAACCAGCCAAGUAGCGUGAAGGAUGACUGCCCUAUGGGUUGUAAACUUCUUUUAUACGGGAAUAAAGUGAGGCACGUGUGCCUUUUUGUAUGUACCGUAUGAAUAAGGAUCGGCUAACUCCGUGCCAGCAGCCGCGGUAAUACGGAGGAUCCGAGCGUUAUCCGGAUUUAUUGGGUUUAAAGGGAGCGUAGGCGGACGCUUAAGUCAGUUGUGAAAGUUUGCGGCUCAACCGUAAAAUUGCAGUUGAUACUGGGUGUCUUGAGUACAGUAGAGGCAGGCGGAAUUCGUGGUGUAGCGGUGAAAUGCUUAGAUAUUACGAAGAACUCCGAUUGCGAAGGCAGCUUGCUGGACUGUAACUGACGCUGAUGCUCGAAAGUGUGGGUAUCAAACAGGAUUAGAUACCCUGGUAGUCCACACAGUAAACGAUGAAUACUCGCUGUUUGCGAUAUACAGUAAGCGGCCAAGCGAAAGCGUUAAGUAUUCCACCUGGGGAGUACGCCGGCAACGGUGAAACUCAAAGGAAUUGACGGGGGCCCGCACAAGCGGAGGAACAUGUGGUUUAAUUCGAUGAUACGCGAGGAACCUUACCCGGGCUUGAAUUGCAACUGAAUGAUGUGGAGACAUGUCAGCCGCAAGGCAGUUGUGAAGGUGCUGCAUGGUUGUCGUCAGCUCGUGCCGUGAGGUGUCGGCUUAAGUGCCAUAACGAGCGCAACCCUUAUCGAUAGUUACCAUCAGGUUAUGCUGGGGACUCUGUCGAGACUGCCGUCGUAAGAUGUGAGGAAGGUGGGGAUGACGUCAAAUCAGCACGGCCCUUACGUCCGGGGCUACACACGUGUUACAAUGGGGGGUACAGAAGGCAGCUACACGGCGACGUGAUGCUAAUCCCUAAAGCCUCUCUCAGUUCGGAUUGGAGUCUGCAACCCGACUCCAUGAAGCUGGAUUCGCUAGUAAUCGCGCAUCAGCCACGGCGCGGUGAAUACGUUCCC
RNAcentral lists this ribosomal RNA (1017 nucleotides) under uncultured bacterium. RNAcentral describes it as "bacterial SSU rRNA". It matches the Rfam family "Bacterial small subunit ribosomal RNA", at positions 355 to 1375 of the family's 1533-position model. The record is from RNAcentral.